AAAAAAGUUAGUGACAGUGCCAAAGAUUCAGGCUUACUCAUGGAACUUUACAUUUGAGGGAUCAAAAUGUAAUUAGAUAUGCUUUCAUUGUGCAAAUAGUUUUUGGUUGAAAAUAUCUGUGAAACUGCAUUCUUGUUUUUCCUUUCACAGGGGUUUAUACCGCAGGUCUAGUUAUCUACACUAUAUAUACAAAAUAUGUGGACACCCCUUAUAAUUAGUGGAUUCAGCUAUUUCAGCCACACCCAUUGCUAACAGGUGUAUAAAAUUUAGCAUACAGCCACACACUCUCCAUAGACAAACAUUGGCAGUAGAAUGGCCUUACUAAAGAGGUCAGUGACUUUCAAUGUGGCACCAUCAACAACAAGUCAGUUCGUCAAAUUUCUGCCCUGCUAGAGCUUCCCCGGUCAACUGUAAGUGUUGUUAUUGUGAAGUGGAGACGUCUAGGAGCAACAACGGCUCAGCCAUGAGGUGGUAGGCCACACAAGCUCACAGAACGGGACCACCGAGUGCUGAAACGCGUAGCACGUAAAAAUCGUCUGUCCUCGGUUGCAACACUCACUACUGACUUCCAAACUGCCUAUUGAAGCAACGUCAGCACAAUAACUGUUCGUCAGGAGCUUCAUGAAAUGGGUUUCCAUGGCCGAGCAGCCACGCACAAGCCUAAGAUCACCAUGCGCAAUGCCAAGCGUUGGCUGGAGUGGUGUAAAGUUUGUCGCCAUUGGACUCUGGAGCAGUGGAAACACGUUCUCUGGAGUGAUGAAUCACGCUUCACCAUCUAGCAGUCCGACAAACUAAUCUGGGUUUGGCGGAUGCCAGGAGAACGCUACCUGCCCAAAUGCAUAGUGCCAAUUGUCAAGUUAGGUGGAGGAGGAAUAAUGGUCUGGGGCUGUUUUUUAUAGACGGCCCCUUCCUGUUUCAGCAUGACAAUGCCCCUGUUCACAAAGCGAGGUCCAUACAGAAAUGGUUUGUCGGUGUGGAAGAACUUGACUGGACUGCACAGAGUCCUGACCUCAACCCCAUCGAACACCUUUGGGAUGAAUUGGAACAGCGACUGCGAGCCAGGCCUAAUCAGACAAAAUCAGUGCCCAACCUCACCAAUGCUCUUGUGGCUGAAUUGUCCCCACAGCAAUGUUCUAACAUCUAGUGGAAAUCUUUCCCAGAAGAGUGGAGGCUGUUAUAGCAGCAAAGAGGGGACCAAAUCCAUAUUAAUGCCCAUGAUUUUGGAAAGAGAUGUUUAACAAGCUCACUCCAGCGUUCAAGUUUCCGGACACCAAGCUAUGAGUUGAAGUGGAGCAGCCAAUGUGAGCGUCUGCGUGUGUGUAGACUAGAGCCAGAGAGACCAACAGGGAUACAUUCAGCGGGUCUAUGAGGGACUGUUUGAUAAGGUCUGCUGCCUUCUACCACCUCUCCUGAAUACCAAGUAACAGAGAAAUGAUAACCUUACACUAGCUGUCUGUCCACUGGGUAAGCAGGGCCUGUCUCCUAUCUUGAGAAGGUCAGUCUGAAAGGUCAAAUAUCCUCCCUGGCCUCACACUGACUGUCUUUACCUCCACAUCUGACUUCAUGUAGGUACAGUAAUAUACAGAAUAUAGACAAUUAAUGAUGGGCCAUUAAUGACAAUUUUUAUUGAUUCAGGUAUAUUUGAGAUUAUCAUGUUGUUACUACCAGGAUCAAGAAGAGAGAACAAGAGUACGUGAAUCAAAUUUAGACCUACUGUACCAGCAUAAUAAUGCUAUGCCCAUGUAUUUGUGGGCAAAGUAUAGUUUGUCAAUGAUAAUGUGAUAAUGUUUAAAAAUGUAAAGCAAUAUAUACCUGAAAUUAAAUAGUACAAUGGAACAUCUCAUUCUUAAGGUAUUUGAUUGUGUCUUAGGGCAUCUUACUUGCAUGGGAGUUUGAAGUAGCUGCCAGACAAUAUAUUCUAUGAGAGCUAAUUGCAUCUCUUUGUCACUAAGACAAGCCCAGGGACUGGCAGAGGAGAUAGAUGUAUGCAUGCAAAAGUCAUACUCCCUCACUAGCAAAGACAUUUGGAACAAAACAUGUGAUGGAAAUAAACUGAUGCAUUUUUUAAAAACACUAUUUUUAUAUGGCUAACUGAUGUAGUAAGAGGAUGAAAUAUAUUAUUCAAUGGAGGGACAACUAUUUUAAAUUAGGAAGAAAAUGUAACUUACAAAGUCUUUACACUUGUAAAAACUGGAAGCUUCUACAGGCUGCAGUAUCUGUAUUUAGUGGGAGAUCUUAGCAUGGUAUUGUAGGUUUAAAUCACUUACCAGUAAGUAAAUAGUAUAAAAAGGGAUGAACACCAGUAGAUGCUAUGAUCCUCAAAGACUGACAUACCACAGUAUGUAGUGAAUUUCAGAACAGUUGAUGCACUAGGCCAGGGAUGGGCAACUUUGAUGGGG
This 2399-nucleotide long non-coding RNA is filed under the name Salmo salar (Atlantic salmon). RNAcentral describes it as "lncRNA (ENSSSAG00000103600.1)". Lineage: Eukaryota; Metazoa; Chordata; Actinopteri; Salmoniformes; Salmonidae. The record is from RNAcentral.